RNAcentral lists this ribosomal RNA (253 nucleotides) under uncultured bacterium. Its description in RNAcentral is "partial 16S ribosomal RNA". It matches the Rfam family "Bacterial small subunit ribosomal RNA", at positions 524 to 776 of the family's 1533-position model. The record is from RNAcentral.
UACGUAGGGUGCAAGCGUUGUCCGGAAUUAUUGGGCGUAAAGAGCUCGUAGGCGGCUUGUCGCGUCUGCUGUGAAAACCCGAGGCUCAACCCCGGGCUUGCAGUGGGUACGGGCAGGCUAGAGUGCGGUAGGGGAGAUUGGAAUUCCUGGUGUAGCGGUGGAAUGUGCAGAUAUCAGGAGGAACACCGAUGGCGAAGGCAGAUCUCUGGGCCGUAACUGACGCUGAGGAGCGAAAGCAUGGGGAGCGAACAGG